GAUGAACGCUGGCGGCGUGCCUAAUACAUGCAAGUCGAGCGAACAGAUGAGGAGCUUGCUCCUCUGACGUUAGCGGCGGACGGGUGAGUCACACGUGGAUAACCUACCUAUAAGACUGGGAUAACUUCGGGACACCGGAGCUAAUCCCGGAUAAUAUAUUGAACCGCAUGGUUCAAUAGUGAAAGACGGUUUUGCUGUCACUUAUAGAUGGAUCCGCGCCGCAUUAGCUAGUUGGUAAGGUAACGGCUUACCAAGGCAACGAUGCGUAGCCGACCUGAGAGGGUGAUCGGCCACACUGGAACUGAGACACGGUCCAGACUCCUACGGGAGGCAGCAGUAGGGAAUCGUCCGCAAUGGGCGAAAGCCUGACGGAGCAACGCCGCGUGAGUGAUGAAGGUCCUCGGAUCGUAAAACUCUGUUAUUAGGGAAGAGCAAAUGUGUAAGUAACUAUGCACGUCUUGACGGUACCUAAUCAGAAAGCCACGGCUAACUACGUG
This 497-nucleotide ribosomal RNA is filed under the name uncultured bacterium. RNAcentral describes it as "partial 16S ribosomal RNA". It matches the Rfam family "Bacterial small subunit ribosomal RNA", at positions 28 to 507 of the family's 1533-position model. The record is from RNAcentral.